This 10660-nucleotide long non-coding RNA is filed under the name Mytilus galloprovincialis (Mediterranean mussel). Lineage: Eukaryota; Metazoa; Mollusca; Bivalvia; Mytilida; Mytilidae. The record is from RNAcentral.
UGAACUUAGAAAAAAAUGACAUGGGCUAGGUUAUGAAUGGAUUUAAAUACACGCCAAUAGAAAUCUACCCUAUGAUAUUGGUUACGGCUCAGCUGGUUUCAAUAGAAACUAUGGAUCAAUGAAUCGGAUCGAAUUUGUUAAUCAGCAUAGGUAAAAUGCUUCUUCGUAAACACGAAAACCUGGCUAAAAUGGCGGCUCUCUUCUCUCUCAUGAAACUCGGAAUUCUUUGAAGUUAUAACACAUAUUCAGGUACGUCUUAAAAAUUGUGUAUCCGAAAAGGAAAAGAAAUACAUUUUUGUAAUACCUUAGUUUGUCACUAUGGUAUUUGAUUACAACUAAAGAUAUACAUGUUUACCUUUAUUAUAAUGUUAACUGGGCUUGUUACGUGUUAAAGUUCGGGUUAAUUUACUGAUCAUAGGAAUUAACAUAGCAAAUGGGGGUUUUAACACAUAAAUAAAUCUUUUACGCGAAAAGAUAGUUACCGCCACUUGUGGACAAUUCAUAAGUUCCUCAUUUGAAAUACCGUACACCAGUGGGCUCUCCAAGAUAAUAUUAGAUGGAACUUUCUGAAGAUCUCUCCAAAAAAAUGAUAUUAAGUAUCUGUUUGUUUGGAAUCUAACUUGAAUAAUACUGUUCCGUUUAACAUUUAUUUGUUACCGUAGGAGACGGAAAUUUACAAAUUAAAAGAGCACAAAUGUUUGGAAUUUGGGGUGAAAUAUAAAAGGAAAAUAACCAUAUAGGUAAAUUUUAAAUUUGGGUUUGACACUUAUAAUGAAGUUAUAUUAAUGAGUUUGAUUCAUUCAGGUAUGAAAGAUUUAAUAGAUUUUAAAAAUCUACAACACCAUAAACAAUUAAUUUUCUAAAAAAUCCCCCCCCCCCCAAAAAAAAGUGCUGCCGAUGAAACUAGAUUCAUACAGAUUAUUUUCUUGGAAUUCCAAAAUUCUUGUCUUUAGUAAUUAUUUUUUUUUUGUCCAGUUAAGUUUAUUUUUGACAUAAUAUAUUAAUUCUAAAUGAUAGAGCUCUGAAUUGGACUGGUGAUGUUAUGAUAUCGGUAAUAUAUAUACAUACUAUUCAGAUUAAGAAAGUAAAUUUUUAUGAACCAAGUUCAGUCAGCUUGUUACAUCGGGGUUGUGGAAACAAAUUAUCAAUUUAUUAUUCAAUAUGUGUAAAAUGUUAAUGUCUUCUUAAAAUAAUGUUCCAUCGACUUAGACAAUCUGCAAUCUUAUCAUCACAUUAUUGAAUUCGCUUUCUCUUUAAAUGUUUUCAUUAUUUGCACUUAUUAGCACUGAAUGGACUAACCAGACUAUUAUUGUGGAUCAGGUUCCAUAUUUUGGUAACCACCUUUGAAACUUAAGUUUUUUUUUUUCUUUGUCGUUUAAAUGCAUAAUCUGAAGUGCAUUUCCCUAUACGCCAGACACUUGUUAAAGUUCUUUAAUAUAAUGCUAUUCGGCCGUCCUCCCCCGCAUUACUCUCUGUAUCUGAAUUCAAAAACUGUCUAAUUAUAUAAUAUACAAAUAUGAUCAGAAAAAGUUGCAAAGUUUGAGAUUGGAUAAAGUUUCAUAGUGUUAUAUCGGACUGUUUUUACUCUCUAUAUGUAAGCGAUAUAUUCUAGUAAAAUGAACUCAUUGUACAUGGUCAAGGAGAACGACGGAAGCAGGACAGCUACACUGACAGUCCGAAACUAUGUCAUUUUCUUCAGAUAAAUUUGUCUUUUUCGUUGGAUUUUUUCAACAAUUUUAUUUUUCAAAUUCACGGUUCAGUAGUUCGUAGGUUUAAAAUAUUUACUUAAAUGAACAAAAAGUUGAGUAUAACGUCACAUAAUUCAAUAUUUAAAAUACUCCACCCAUUAAGAUGAUAUCACGAUGUUAAAUACACGUCUGCAGUCAAGGUUCUAGAUUUUGACAUAUACAUUAAAGAUUAAUACAAAAUUGUCCUUGUACGUUUAGUGUGACUUCUCACAGUUUUGUCCAUAACAUGUGAUUUAUUUGGCUAAUUCGAUUUUUUUCUUACUAACUAAUGUGAGAAAAUUCGGCCACAUGUAUUAUAUGCUUCAAAUACAAAGAAACACUCGAUCUUUAAAAAUUGUUCGCAAUAGCCUAUCUGAGCCACAGUCCCCAUUUUUUAUUUCCUUAUAUAAAUAUGCAGUGGAAAAUAAGAAUAAAGGGACAGCACAUACAAUCUACAGUUAUUCUAAGAUAGUAUUGAUUAGUACAAUUAGAACACUUGAAUAUUAUUAAAAGUGCAUGAAAAUAGGUUGAAAAUAUAAAAAAAAUACAUCAUUGAUGUUAGGGGUUAAGGGUGUUUAUAGUUCAAUUUUGAGAAACUGUAAUGACCCCCUGUCAGUUUAUGCAUGUCGUUUGAAGAAUUAAAAACAACAUGUAAGAUUACUAUUUUGGUUUAUUUUAUGAUGCUAAAUUAUAAAAACGAUAGAGGCUACUACAUUGAACUAUCGUAAUUUAAGAUACAAGCUAUGACAGUUCCAAAUCUGAAAACAAGUUUUAUAAAACUCUUGUGACAUUCUUUUGGUUAAACCAUGUUCUUACGGUAGAAACUUCUUAAUUGGUCGUUUAUCUUUGCUUGAUAGUAAGUUAAUUGGGACAAUAUAACCUCCAGUCAAUGUGUAGCUGACCACAUCACAAUAGUUGUCAGAAAACUACUAUCAGAUAACAAAAUCACUUUGCUGUUGGUUAAUCAAUAUGUAACUCAAGGAAGAUGUCAGAUAAUAUGAACUUAUAGUACAACACAAACUAAUGUUACUGUCCUAUGGCAAGCCGUUUUGCUAUUUAUUCUUACUUUAAGAUAUCUCAUAAACUUUAUAAGAUAUCUUAUAUAGUUUAUAAGAUAUCUUAUAUAGUUUAUAAAAUAUCUUAUAUAUAGUUUAUAAGAUAUCUUAUAUAGUUUAUAAGAUAUCUCAUAUAGUUUAUAAGAUAUCUCAUAUAGUUUAUAAGAUAUCUCAUAUAAUUUAUCAGAUAUCUUAUAUAAUUGUCUUUAUAAGAUAUCUCAUAAACUAUAUAAGAUAUCUUAUAAACUAUAUGAGAUAUCUUAUAAACUAUAUAAGAUAUCUUAUAAACUAUAUAAGAUAUCUUAUAAAUUAUAUAAGAUAUCUUAUAUAAAAAUUGUUUAUAAGAUAUCUCAUAUACUUUAUAAGAUAUCUUAUGAACUUUAUAAGAUAUCUUAUAAAGUAUAUAAGAUAUCAUAUAAACUUUAUGAGAUAUCUUAUAUAACAUUAAAGAUAUCUUAUAUAACAUUAAAGAUAUCUUAUAUAAUAUAUGAGAUAUCUUAUAAAAAUGAAAUUAUAUAAGAUAUCUUAUAUAUUAAAGGAGAUAUCUUAUAUAUUAUACUGGAAAUAUCUUGAAAUUCGAAUAAAUAGUAAAACGGCUUGCCAUGCUGUCCCCUUGUAAAAUGUCUUCUUGUAAUCUUAUCUAUACAUAUUCAAGUUAAGAAGUAAUAUGUAGAUACAAUAGAGAUGAAGGUAUAACCUCAAGUUCCGCUUUGGUUUAUACUAGGAUAUAUUGUUAAAGACAAAACGUUCAAAAAGUUCAAAAUACAUGAACAAGUACCUACUAAAGCAAUCAUUUAUAAUAGAACAGUGCCACAACACUAAUUAUACUUUUCUGAUGAAAUCAGCAAGAUUAUAAUUUUUUUAUAUGAAUUAAGUGUUUCAUGACAAAGAUACAGCAUAUUUUGUGGAUAGAUUCGUCGUGAAAUCAGUUUGAAUAUAUGUGUAUUCGUGUAUAUCUGGAUUGUGCAUUUGUUUGGUUGACCGUUAUGGAAUAAUGUGUACAGACAACCACGGAUAUGUUCCAUUUGUAGAACUCGGUGCCAUUUUUUCCAGAUUGUGACAUCACCGGAUACAGUUUUGUCUUUCGUUUUUCAAGGCUGUCAUGAGUCGAUAGGUGCAACUUACGGAACAAGACUAACUGUUUACCUUUUAAUGGAGUACUUAAGUUAAUAGUCGGUUUUGGUGGGGUUCUUUGAGCUGAUCUUCAGUUUUCAAGUAUUUUAUGUACUCUUGAUUUUUUUCUAUUCGUCUUUUUUGCCAAAGUUGUCCAUGGUGUAUAGUAUUCCACUUUUCGUCAACUCGUGGUGUCCUCGUCCGAAUUCGUAAUUAAUUAAGUAGAAUUAUCUGUUUUGCAAAGAGUACAGAUGGAAUAUUGUACAAUCUACCGGUUACAAUUUGAAUUAUUUCAUCACAAGUUUAAAUUUUGCUGUCAUUCCGAUUUCUUUUUUAAAAAGCGAACCUUUUUUUUUCAAUAUUCCGUAAAAAUAGCUUCGACAACCACUCAACCCGAUUUCUGUAUAGACUGAUGUUUUACAUAUGUUUACAUGGAGAGUUCAUGAAACGUUAAACCCGUUAAUCGUUGUUAAUGACUUUAUAUUUUCAAGUAGUUUUUGACUCUACUUAAAAAUCAAAUAGUCAAAAGUAUUCUCAUAUCUUUUUUCUCAAGAAAUGAAUCAUGUUAUCAAUAUAUAUGAGUUAUAUCCCCUCGCAUCAUUAUUGCCUUUUCGAAGGUAUACAAAUACAGUAAGAUGUUUGUCUGUUUGCACACUAAUAAAUAUCUGUCUGUUACUCCUAUAUAAGAGUCAGUAUAGAAAUUUCCUUUUGUAUCAGAGUUUCCUCAUAGCCCAGUCAUGAGAACAGGAUAAAAUCUUUUCAUUAACUAGUAUAAAGACCAAAGUUCUUUGGUUUAAUGAUCCGAGGAGUUGUUCUUUACGGUGCAUUUGAAAACAUAGUAUAGGUCAGGACAGCAAGAUGUUGAAACCAUAAUCCAGACAAUAGCCGCUUUGUCACGCUCCGAUUAAAGAAAUAUAUUUAUACAGUAGAUAUAAAAUAUAAUUAUUUCACACCAUAUGAGACCAACAAACGAUGGGAUAAAAUACAGAUAAAGUGUCGUAUUCAGAAUUGUAAGCGAUAUACGGACGCACAAGAAAUAUGGGAUUGUUAUUGUUAAGUUAAAUACAUAGAAUUUAUACUAAAGAGUGAAUGUGUUUAGAGAGAUUUGUGUGGAUUUCCUAGUGGAUCAUUAUUACAGAAGUAAUAUUUUGGAAUGCAUUUGUAGUUGUAUCUGCCACAUCACUGAGUACUGAGAAGAAAUUUGAUCUUUAGUUUGUUUAAGGGUUAAAUUAGAAAAAAGAAAAUGGGCCAGUCACCCUUUUUUCAUACUUGUUAUAUUAAUAAAGAUUAUAUAGAUUUUUCAUGCAAGAGAUGUCAUUUUAGGGGGUCAUGGAAAGAUUGCACGAAGUACAAUAGAUACCAUCUGUUCUUGACCUCAUUUUCAUGGUGAUGGUCAUAGGUAUGUCCUCUUCUGAGAUACUUUAAGCAAUGAGUCAACUAUGCUUGGUGUAUGGAAUGAUUAUAAGGCGAACAUGUAUGUCUGGCUUGAUUUAUCUGACCUUGACUGCACUUUAAUAAUAGAUCAUUGAUCAUAAUGUUAAGUUUAUGUGAUGCUUGUAGUUAAACUUAAUCUCCAAGACUUUCAACUUAAGAUAAACCAUAAGAGACUAUCAACAUAAAAUCAACCAUGGUUAGUUUAGCGUGUGGACUCUUGUUUUACGAAUAAAGGGCAAAUUAGAAUUAAUCACGAGAGGUUUCGCAAAACCAUGUGAAAGUCUGUUGUUUACCUGGUUCUGGUUGUUAUUUAGAAAAUAUACAUGAACUUGAAUCCAGUGGUUACAUAUCAUUUUCGUUCAUUGUUGAAGUAUAAACUAUGCUGUUUGUUUUCUCCUUGUUUGUUUCGAAUUUUGUUACAACGUGGCCUUGGUAACUUACUGUAUUUUAUGGGUAUUGCUAAUUGUUGAAGGUCGUUUGCUGACCUGUAACUUUUUAGAGGCAGUAUAUACGUUUAAAAAAACACUCGUAUACAUAAACACACAAGAUAGUUUUAACAUAUUUGAGGCUGCAAAUAAUUUUGUUAUCAAAAAUAAUUGUAUGAAUUUCUUUUCUUUCUUUUAGAUAACCAUAAUGGCGCGGAAGCCACUUUCAACGAUUGACUGGAAGCAGAAACACGAGAGGAGUGUAGAUCAAAUUUUCGCAGAGCCGCUAAAAGAAAUAGAAUCAUCGUCGUCUCAAUUCAUCAACGUUCAUGACAAGAUUGAACAAUAUGAACAAAAAUCUAGAUUAAACUUUAACAAAAACCGAGCUGCUCCACCUCCUCCAGGGACUCAAGUAUUUUUGCCAAAAAUUGGAAAUUAUACGCCAAAAAUAUUGUUAUCUAGAAAUAGCAGUAAAGCAUCUGCUCCAAAGUCACCAUAUGAAGAUGCAAAUAUACCAGAUUUCCCACCUAAUGAAAAUAAACUUUAUAACAAACAAUAUUCAAUUGAGCAGACGACAGAAAGAAAGUUGUCGUCUGCUGAAUCGUUUAAGACGAAAUCAAAAUCAGAGUGCAAUAUAAAUCCAGAAGAAGAUAUCUAUCAUACAAUUGAUAUAAAACCUGAUUAUGAAGAAAAUAAGAUAGAGGAGAAGAAAGUUAUGAUAAUUGGGGACAAAGAUGUCCCACUUGUUCUGGAUACUUACUUUGGAGCAGAUGAUGAUGAAGACAAUGAAAAUUUGCUAGUAGCAGAAACGAAUUCCAACGUUACACCCAGUUACGAUGCUGAAGAUGCCAAAGCUUUCGCGGAUCAUGACACUAUAGUAAAUGUCGGGGAGGUGGUGGUUAAUCCUUUAUUCGAAGGUAAACAAGAAGACAAUCAUACAGAAACAGAAAACGAAAUACCAAGACAUUACAAGAAGAGGAGGGCACCUGGUGUUCCGACUUCAUCAUAUGUGAGCCGACGACGCAACAAUUCACAAUCAUCGCAUGCCUCAGACGACGAAUAUCCUUAUAUCCCAGAACCUGACUACGAGGAACACGAGGCGACGAUGAAUUUUGACUUUGUCGAAAACAACGAUCAGCCAAUUCCACCACCGCGGCGCAACCGGCGUAACCGGAAGGUAGUCAAAGAAUACGACGGAGAGGAUUUCUCCCAAUAUAUGGAAGACGAUGAUGGCUUCCAUGAACAGCCUUUUACUUGGAGGAAAAACAUCAAACAUGCAAGGACACCUAAUGCUAAAACUAAACAACCACCGAUUCAAAAAUCAAAGUACUCGGAACGUUCAAAGAUGAGCGCCCCUAAACUAAAGCCUGUUAAAAAGCCAAAACAUACCGAGACGCAACACGGUAGUAUGAAAAGACAAACAUUACGAGAUAUAACCUAUGCUGAUUGUAAAAUGGGCGUAGAUGAUAGGACUAUACGAAGUGUUAAAAGUACGUCCGCUGGAGGGCGUUAUAUUAAGCGCGGGAAAGAACGGACUAUGAUUGUUGAUGGAGAUAUAGGAACUGGUGGAUAUGAAGAAUUUUUAAGAAUGAGACACAAAGAAGACGGAAGUCUAGAGAGUAACAGUAGUGGCGACAGUGGUUUAGAUCCUGGUGAAGAUAUACUUGCACAAGAACAAAUGUUUUAUCAAAUGCAACCAAAAAAUGUACGAGACAAAAAAUCUGGUACUUUGUGGGAAAAGUUGACAUGGCGUUUUAAACGACAUGUUGGUGAUUAUAGGAUGAGCUAAAUUACGGCAUCUAGGAAUCUCUUCUAUCUUUGUUUAAUAUGUUUGUUAUUUGUUCCGCAAUGUUUCAUCUGUUAUAGGUCAGGACAUUCGGGUUUAAUUUAAUAUCAUUUAUUAACUUAGGGUGUCUUUUAAGCCAAAAUCCUGCAUACCAGCCAUAAGCAUAUGGAAAAGGGGGUCUUUAAAUUAUAUUUAUAAUUAUAUCGAAUGUUACACACAUAUGUAUUCGAAUCAUUGCAUUUGCUGAUGUGUGUUAUUUUAAAAAAAAAAUUUCAAACAUCAGGCAAAGUAUGAGCGACAAAUUGGGGUAUCACAUAAUAUAAUAAAUAUCGCACGGUACACGCCCACAUGCAUGGACCAACAAUUCAUACAUGAUUAACGGGUUGCCUUUUCAUGUUCUUAUAAUUUUAUCCGGUUUUCAUCAAGUGAAAGUAUAAACGUUUUUAUGAACUAAAUGUCUUUCAUGUUAAUCAAUUCGAUUGUUUGUUGUCAUUGAUUCAAUCAGCAUUGUUCAUUGUACUUUUAUUCAAUACAAGAAAGAGCGAUGUCGUUUUAAUCAAUACAUGAAUGUUUAUACUGUAUCAAAAUUGUUUUUUUCUUGCACUGUAGAAGGACUAUAAGAAUUGCUUUUUUAUACUAUAUCAUAAUUGUUUUUUUGUUUAAUACACUGUAUCAGAUAUUUUUUUUUAAACUAUCAUAAUUGUUUGGUUUUUUUUUCCUUCUCAAAAUUACUGCUUAUCCGAAGUUUUUAAUUGCCAAUUAUGUUUUAAAGUACAUUUUGUAUCGAUUUAAAAAAAAAAAUUGUCUUACAUCAGCUUCCUCCAUACCUUGUAUCGUUCUUCGUAACGAAAAAUCCUCUCCUUUUAUGCCUUUCAUUAUGUUAUAUUAUGAAUGAGUUCUUUUAUAUCCUAUAUCAUGUAACUUUACAAUGUUUCUUAUUUAAUACCCUUUACUACAUAACUUUACAUAUAGAUUCUACCACUGUGUUGUGUGUAAUACGAUAUUAAACCAUUCAAGACAGUAAAUUUUCAAAUUUAAAAUGCGAGGCUCGCCGAGCGUUUUAAAUAUAAAGUUCAACUGUGAGAGGAUAAAUCGUGAAAGAUUAAGUUAUACUUUGUACCACGAAACGUUACAAUGGUUUUUUUUCGGUAUAUAUGUUACAGGGAAUUUGUGAAAUCAGGGAUUUUGUAAAAUCACUGAAAUUUCAGGGAAUUUGUAAAAUCACUGAACUGAUUAGUGAUUUUAUAAAAUCCCUGAUUUUGCCUAGUGAUUUUACAAAAUCCCUGAAAUAAUAAAGAUCUUUUUUACAGAUUCACUGAUUAAAUUCAGGGGAUUUAUAAAAUAAACUCAUUCGUUUUAUUAAGAAUUUCUGUGAAAAAAAGACUACAACAUUAACAUUCGAUAAGUUAGAGGUUAAUCUAGCCUUUAUUUUAUAAAUAAAAAGCAAAUAAGUAUUAUUAAUUUGCUGCCUUCAAAAAAACAUUUAUAUUCACAAAAUAUUAAUAUAAAAAAAAGAACAAAAGAAAAUAUAGGUAAGAAUACUUUGUUUUGUACUUGCAUGUUUAUGAAUAGGUUCUAACCAAGCAAAAAUAAAAAAAAGUUUUACCUACUUUGGUCAUAUAUCAGAUACAUGCAUUGUAUCACAAAGUGAUAAACAUUUUGAUAAGUUUCUAAACUUUCUCAAUUAUUUUAAUUCAAAUAAAGUUAAUUUUUGUUUAUAAAUGUAGGUAUGAAGUUCUUCAAUGUGAAGAUUUGAAAAAAUGGUUAAAAACGGUAUUCAUCAGAUGAAGAUGUUUUUAAAAUGCGAUGUAUGUCUUGAAGACACGGACAGCAUAGUUAAGAAAAUUCACAUAUAAAUAGCUUAUUGUGGUAGGGACAAAAUGGUAUUAAAAGUACGCGAAUAGGAAGUGUGCAAAUGUUUCAUACAAAGCUUUAGAACUUUAUAAAGGAACUUUGAGAAGAAUGUCAUCUAAAAAACGUAGAGCUGCUACAGCUAAGUAUUGUCGUUAAGUCUUUAAUAAGCAAAGACAUCAAUUUUCCGAGGACAUGUUCAAACAUGCAUCAAAAAGCAGGGCAAUAAUGUAACAGUAGAUGUCACACAAACUUGUCAUGCAAAAAUUAGAAAAUUCACAGUGGUCUUAAUAUCCUUUUAUAAUGCCUUUUAGUCAUUAUCAUUAUACUCUAGCAUGUCUAGUGUUUAUUAAACAAAUAUAUUUCCAAAUCAUUAGUGAUUAUUGGUCUAUUUUUAUAUUAGAAAAAACACAUUUCUAAUAGCAUGUUAUACUUUAUUGUAAUCAGGGAUUUUACAAAAUGACUAGCUCUAUUUUCAGUGAUUUUGUGAAAUCCCUAACAAUUUCAGGGAUUUAACAAAACCACUAAAGCUGUUAGUGAUUUUAUAAAAUCACUGAUUAGUACAGUGAUUUUACAAAUUCACUGUAACAUAUACAUUGUGUCAUGUUACAUUACAAUGUCUUCUCGUUUUAUACGUGUUGCAGCACAAAGGUUCUAUGUUUUCUCGUUUUAUACCCUGCAUCAUGAAUGUUACAAAAAAAUAAUCAUCCUGAAUACCCAUUAGGAUCAUGUAUGUUUUAAUAAAAGUCAGAAGUUAAAUAAAGGCAUUUAAAACUGCUUAAAAUAUCAUCUUCAUAAGAUAUUCUACAGAACCACAACAUGAGAAUUUACCUUUUUGCAAAACAUUUCGCAUUUCGACUAAGGUUGUAAAAUGGUGAAAAAAUACAACGGUACUCCACUAUUUUAUUAUUAAUAUAUUUUUGUUUGUGUUCAUGCAAUUAUGAUUUUUAUUCAAUUAAGUUUAUUUUGUUGAAGAUACUUUAAUAUAUUUUUUUAAGAAUUACAGCAUAAUAUUGAUGAAAAAUAUUGAGCAUAAUAAAAUUAUAUUUGAAUUGUGAAAUGUUUAUUUGGUCUUGACACGAUUAAGGCGACACACAACUGAUAAAACAACCCGUACGUGCACAUGUUAACUCAGGUCUCUGGGGUUUUUAAAUCCGUUUACCUUCUAGUGUUGAAAAGAGAACUCCCUUGCAAUAUUGUAGUUUUUUGCCAGAUAAGGAACUCGGGUCCCUUGCAGCCUUUUGUAUAUUUAUUUACAAGAAAUUAAAC